Long non-coding RNA from Mus musculus (house mouse), 3132 nucleotides. RefSeq annotates it as predicted gene, 38804. Lineage: Eukaryota; Metazoa; Chordata; Mammalia; Rodentia; Muridae. The record is from RefSeq and is a predicted model, not a curated record. The transcript has 3 exons.
UCAGGGGAAAAUAUUUAUGAUAGAUUCCUGGUGCAUAAUGUUAAUAAAUGUCAGUUCCAAAUAAAUUUUGGUCUUCCCUGUGCUUGCUCAUGAGAAUUCAUUUUAAUAGAGCCAUGCUUUAGGAGGAAAGUAGUGACUUCAAUUAUAUAUUGUCAGGACUUGAAUGCCCAAGUCUAAUGAGUUGAAUUGAUUUACAGGACUGUCCCCUGACCUGCACUGAAAUCUGGACAUAGGAAACAUUUGGUACCAAGUAUCCAGUCUGGCUUGAAUCUGAGGUUUAUUCGAUGAGAAGAGAUCACUGUCCGUGAUUGACAUGCUGCCAAUUAAAGUAACCCAGAGACCCCCAUGUUUAAUGCCUGGCCUGAUUAAACUUGGCUUUGACAUCCAACCAGGAAGACGACCCUGGGCAGAGCUCUUCUCCAUCUGCCCACUGAAGAGUAGAGAGGAAUGUGGACAUCCCAGGUCCCUGCAGGUCCUACAGCUAAGAAAGGGGUGUGCUUGAACCUCAGCCUGCCCAGAGGCCCAUUGCCUUGGGCUCAGAUGUGAUAAAAGCCUCUGGUCUAUAGGUACUUGUCCCUGUUCAUUAUGACAAAAUGAUGCUCUCUGUUGCCAUGACAGGACUGCUACUAAGGGAUGAGAGGGCCAUUCGCAGGAGAGGGCUGCUGCUGGCCUGCAGAGGGCUCCUAACAAGAGCACAUGACCAGGUAGGAAAUUUUUUCCACUCCAGGCAGCAUGUGCCUGGGGAUCCCCAGGCUGCCUGCUUUUGUCAUCAUAGCAGCCUGCAGAGAGAUGAAGACCUUGAACUCCGAGUGACCCUGGGACCAGAACUCUGGAUUCACUAAACCCCAGCAUCUCUAAGCCAGCAUCCUACCCAGAGAGCUCAUUCUCCAGACCUGACCAGCCAGUCUUCAGCCCCAGUUCCAGCACCAAAAGCACCCCGAUUUUACCCGGCCUGCUGCAUACUUCUAUAGCCUGGCUUUGCUUUUUUUUUUCCUCCCAACAUUAAUGUCCUUGUUUUAUCCUUUGGGUGACCUUCAAAGUCCUGGUGCCCACAGUGAGAUUCUACAUACCAGAAGAUACUAGUUGAGGACAUCAACUUACGUUUGGCUCCAAGGAGGGCAGGGGGUCUCAGAUGGGGAGGCUGACUUCUCUUACCUGAGAUGCUGCCAGCCAGGCCACUCUCCAUCCCUGCAGGCCUCCUACUGCAUCAGUGCUGGUAAAAAUGUGCAGAUGGGAAGGUUACGUGGGCAUAAUUCUCAUGUGCAAAGAGAAACCGGGCCCAAGAGAAGCCUUGGUGUGCUCAGACAUAAAGAUAGCUAAACAGCUGAACUGGAUAAACAUCAAAGUCUCCUAAUCCCCACACUAGAGUUUCAAGGCUGACACCCUCAGCGUGGGUAGAGAGUGUGUGAGGAGCAAGCCACACAGGAACUGGGUACAUCAGGGGUCUGGAAGCCAUCCACUGGAGACAUGAACAGGAAGGAAGCCCACAGCUCCAUCUUCCAGGGAAGGUGGAUACCUCCCUCUGGCAGGCUGGCUGGAAUAGAAACUUUUCUGUUAUAAAAAUAAGAUGUGGGGCUGGAGAGAUAGCUCAGCGAUUAAGAGCACUGACUGCUCUUCCAAAGGUCCUGAGUUCAAAUCCCAGCAACCACAUGGUGGCUUACAACCAUCUGUAAUGAGAUCUGAUUCCCUCUUCUGGAGUGUCAGAAGACAGCUACAGUGUACUUACAUAGAAUAAAUAAAUCUAAAAAAAAUAUGUUUAUUCUUAAUUUGGAUAAGGGCAAUUAUCUAACAGAUGGCACCCCAAUGGCCAGGUGAUUCAUAAUGAGCUGCAUGUGCCAUCCUCCUGCCUGGGGACCAGCCAUGAUUUGUUGUGAGAGCACGUGUGUGCAGUGGGUCACAUUUGUAUGGGCUGUAUCCGGGGCUGGAGUUCCACUGUCUGGCAACGUUACCAUUCUUACUAAUAUUUAUUCAAUGAACAAAACAAACCUCUGCCUUUUACCCCUGUGGAGAUCUCUUCUGUGGAGGCUGCAGAUUUGGCUGCAGCUCUGUUUCCCCCAUGAGGAUCUGGGAAGAACUGCCACUGUGCAUCCUCCUAGACACUGAAACCCACUGGUGGGCAGAGACAGGGGAGUAACAGGAAGUAAAGGCAAUCUCUACCUGGAGAUGCAUCUGGGGACUGGAGCUCUCUCUUGCCUCCACCCACUGUCUCCAGCUCCCUCUUUGUGUGUUUCUGUACCCCACACCUUGGGCCUUGAGAACUGCAAACAGAGAGGUCACCUAGCCAUAGGGAGUCUCAGAGUGAGUGUGGGUCAGAAAUACAGGACAAGGUUAGAGGGUCAGGUCUCACCUACGCCACACAGGCCAGGCCCUAAACCACCCAGAGUCCCACCUACUCUGGCUUCUCAGAACUGAUUCAAAAAUGGCACCAGAAGGGCUUUGGUUCCUGGUGACCCAGCCUGCGCACCACCUUAAUAUGCCUGUUCAGGCCACACCAGGCAGGAGAAAAGCAACUCUUCUGGGAUCUCAGCAGUGACAAAUGUGGGAACAGAAGGAAGGAGACCCACACAUGCUCAAAGGAGAAAAAUAAGGGGGGAGGGAGAUACAAAAAAGACAGAGAUGGAGGAAAGAGGCCAUGGUUUUUGAGACCUACUUCCUGUAUGCUCUGAUGUUACAUGUCUGCAGAACAGCCUAGGAAAACCAAGUCCAAGGCAGGCCUUGCCCCAUUGACACUCCUCUCAGGUCCACCGUGCCACCACAGACCCUUCCCUUACCAAGUGUGUCUCUCAUUCCAUCUAUUAUCCUACCAAGCCACUUACCUUUCUCAUAACCCACCUGAGAAGAGUGAAUAGGUGAGCCGACUGUCCACCUAGCAGGACACAAAAGCUACGGGACAGGUAUACACACACACACACACACACACACACACACACACACACACGAGACAGGGAAACAGCACAGGUUGGUCUAUCACAUGGAGCCUGACCCUAGUCUUGGUGCUCUAUUCCUAUUCCUUCCACCCCACUCACGAGUACCGUAAGGACAGAACACACACACACACACACACACACACACACACACACACACACACACACACGAUAAAGCCCCAGUCACCUCCACCCUCCUGUGGCCUGC